AAGCGUUGAAGCGUUGUGUCGUGCCAGUAAGCGGUGCGCGUGGAGCUUUAUCAUGGUUGGAUGGUUCCCAAAAACUGGCGAUGAAAACAUCACUU
This 95-nucleotide non-coding RNA is filed under the name unclassified sequences. RNAcentral's name for it is "drum RNA". It matches the Rfam family "drum RNA". Rfam says of the family: Firmicutes, Bacteroidetes (1 example), Proteobacteria (2 examples), Spirochaetes (2 examples). Terminator (Clostridia) The record is from Rfam by way of RNAcentral.